This 495-nucleotide ribosomal RNA is filed under the name uncultured bacterium. RNAcentral's name for it is "partial 16S ribosomal RNA". It matches the Rfam family "Bacterial small subunit ribosomal RNA", at positions 28 to 507 of the family's 1533-position model. The record is from RNAcentral.
GAUGAACGCUGGCGGCGUGCCUAAUACAUGCAAGUAGAACGCUGAAGGAGGAGCUUGCUCUUCUGGAUGAGUUGCGAACGGGUGAGUAACGCGUAGGUAACCUGCCUGGUAGCGGGGGAUAACUAUUGGAAACGAUAGCUAAUACCGCAUGACAACAGUUAUUGCAUGAUAACUGUUUAAAAGGGGCAACUGCUCCACUACCAGAUGGACCUGCGUUGUAUUAGCUAGUUGGUGAGGUAACGGCUCACCAAGGCGACGAUACAUAGCCGACCUGAGAGGGUGAUCGGCCACACUGGGACUGAGACACGGCCCAGACUCCUACGGGAGGCAGCAGUAGGGAAUCUUCGGCAAUGGACGGAAGUCUGACCGAGCAACGCCGCGUGAGUGAAGAAGGGUUUCGGAUCGUAAAGCUCUGUUGUAAGAGAAGAACGAGUGUGAGAGUGGAAAGUUCACACUGUGACGGUAUCUUACCAGAAAGGGACGGCCAACUACGUG